This 246-nucleotide ribosomal RNA is filed under the name uncultured Candidatus Saccharibacteria bacterium. RNAcentral describes it as "partial 16S ribosomal RNA". It matches the Rfam family "Bacterial small subunit ribosomal RNA", at positions 796 to 1041 of the family's 1533-position model. The record is from RNAcentral. Lineage: Bacteria; Candidatus Saccharimonadota.
CACGCCGUAAACUAUGGACGCUAGCUGUAAGAAGUAUCGACCCUUCUUGUAGCGAAGCUAACGCGUUAAGCGUCCCGCCUGUGGAGUACGGUCGCAAGACUAAAACAUAAAGGAAUUGACGGGGACCCGCACAAGCGGUGGAGCGUGUUGUUUAAUUCGAUGGUAAGCGAAGAACCUUACCCAGGCUUGACAUCCUACUAAUUUCUCCGAAAGGAGAGAGUGCCUUCGGGCCGUAGAGACAGGUGU